RNAcentral lists this ribosomal RNA (253 nucleotides) under uncultured bacterium. Its description in RNAcentral is "partial 16S ribosomal RNA". It matches the Rfam family "Bacterial small subunit ribosomal RNA", at positions 524 to 776 of the family's 1533-position model. The record is from RNAcentral.
UACAGAGGUCCCAAGCGUUGUUCGGAUUCACUGGGCGUAAAGGGUGCGUAGGCGGCGCGGUAAGUCGGGGGUGAAAUCUCGGGGCUUAACUCCGAAACUGCAUUCGAUACUGCCGUGCUUGAGGACUGGAGAGGAGACUGGAAUUUACGGUGUAGCGGUGAAAUGCGUAGAUAUCGUAAGGAAGACCAGUGGCGAAGGCGGGUCUCUGGACAGUUCCUGACGCUGAGGCACGAAGGCCAGGGGAGCAAACGGG